CCGCUUCAAGUUCCUCCUCUUCAAUUGCAGGUUUUUCAUCUUUCUCUCCAACAACUAGUUCUUCAGGUUUCUCUUCAAGUGCCAGUUCUUCAGGUGUUUCCUCCUUUGCCAGCUCUUCAGGUGUUUCCUCCUUUGCCAGCUCUUCAGGUGUUUCUUUAGCUGCCGGUUCUUCAGGUUUCUCUUCAACCUCCGGUUCUUGUGGUAUUUCCUCUACUUGUACUUCAGAUUUCUCCUCAAUUGUUGGUUCUUCAGGUUUCUCUCUAACCGCUGCUGCAUUAGGUUUCUCUUCAUUGGCUGGUUCUUCAGGUUUUUCUUCAACUACCGAUUCUUCAGGAUUUUCCUCAAUGUUUGGAAAGGGAGCGACAUCAUUAUUGGUAUUGCAUGGAAUUUCACUGCCAGUUUUGUCAUUCAAGUCCACAACUAGUAUAUUCUGCAAAAGAGUUUAAUGUUUCACUUAGUCUUUCAAUAAAGAAGCAGAUGCGAAUCAUUACAUAUACAUAACUAAUAACAUGGAUAAACUUUAUGACAGUAGUUGACCCUUACCUUUUCCACAAGAGUUACUUUUGCAGGUUUCUCCUCUUCAAGUGCUGGUUUCUCUUCAAAUGAUAGUUCAUUAGGUGUUUCUUCCCGUGUUGGUUCUUCAUGUGCUUCUUCAGUUACUGGUUUUUCAGGUUUCUCCUCAAUUGUUGGUUCUUCGCUUGUCUUCUCAACUGAUGGUUCCUCAUGCUUCUCUCCCGUUGUUGAUUUUUCGGGUUUCUCUUCAGUUGUCGAUGGUUCAGUUUUUUUCUCAACCGCUGGUUCUUUUGGCUUCUCCAAAACCAUUUCCGAUUUCUCUUCAGUUGGUGGUUCUUCAUGGUUUUUUUCAACUACUGGUUCUUCUCUUUUUUCCUCAACUGAUGCAUAGUCAGCAAUAUCGUUGUUGGUAUUGCUUGGAAUUGCAUUGUCUGUCUUGUCCUUUGAGCUUACAAUUGGCAUAUUCUGCUAGAAAAAUAUAAAGUUUCAUGUAGUCUUUCAACAGAGAAACCAAUGUAAAUUUGUUGCACAUAUAAAGCUAACAAAUAUGAUGGAUAGACUUUGCGAGAGUGUUUAAUACUCACCUUCUCCGGAAGAGCUUCCGUUUCAGGUUCCUCUUCAAUUUCUGCUUUUUCAUCUUUCUCUUCAACAACUAGUUCUUCAGGUGUCUCUUCAACCGUUGAUUCUUCAGGUUUCUCUUCAAGUGUUAGUUCUUGAGGUGUUUCCUCCUUUGCUAGCUCUUCAGGUGUUUCUGUAACUGCCGGUUCUUCAGGUUCCUCUUCAGCCACCGGCUGUUGACGUAUCUCCUCUACUUGUACUUCAGAUUUCUCCUCAAUUGUUGGUUCUUCAGGUUUCUCCUUAACCGCUGGUACAUCAGGUUUAUCCUCAUUGACUGGUUCUUCAACUGCUGAUUCUUCUAGAUUUUCCUCAAUGUCUGGAAAGCGAGCAACAUCAUUAUUGGUAUUGCAUGGAAUUUCAUUUCCAGUUUCGUUAUUCGAGUCUACAAUUAGCAUAUUCUGCAAAAAGAAUUUAAUGUUUCAUUUAGCCUUUCAAUAAAGAAGCAUAUGCGAAUAACAGUACAUGCAUAACUAACAAAAUGGAUAAACUUUGUGAUAGUGCUUGAUCCUUACCUUUGCCAAAAGAGUUACCUUUUCAGGUUUCUCCUCUUCAACGGUUGGUUCUUCAUGUUUCUUUUCAAAUGCUAGUUCCUUGGUUGUUUCUUCCGGUGUUGGUUCCAUAGGUGUUUCUUCAGUUACUUGUUUUUCGGGUUUCUCUUCAAUUAUUGGUUCUUCGAUUGUCUUCUCAACUGAUGGUUCUUCAAGAUUUUCUCCCACUGUUGGUUUUUGGGGUUUCUCUUCUAUUGUUGGUUGUUCAGGAAUUUUCUCAACUGGUGGUUCUGCUGGAUAUUCCAAAACCAUUGAUUCUUCAGAUUUCUCUUCAAUUGAUGGUUCUUCAUGGGUUUUUUCAACUACUGGUUCUUCAAUUUUUUCCUCAACAGAUGCAUAGUCAACAAUAUCAUUAUUGGUAUUGCUUGGAAUUGCAUCGUCUGUCAUGUCCUUUGAGUUUACUUUUGGCAUAUUCUGCAAUAGAGUUUCAUGUAAUCUUUCAACAGAUAAACAGAUGUAAAUUUGUUGCACAUAUAAAGCUAAUAUGGUGGAUAAACUUUGUGACAGUGUUUAAUCCUCACCUUCUCCUGAAGAUCUUCCGCUUCAAGUUCCUCCUCUACAAUUGCAGUUUUUUCCUCUUCCCCUUCAACAACUAGUUCUUCAGGUGCCUCUUCAGCCGUUGAUUCUUCAGGUUUCUCUUCAAGUGCUAGUUCUUCAGGUGUUUCCUCCUUUGCCAGCUCUUCAGGUGUUUCUUUAGAUGCCGAUUCUUCAGGUUUCUCUUCAGCCAUCGGUUCUUGAGGUAUUUCCUCUACUUGUACUUCAUAUUUCUCCUCAAUUGUUUGUUCUUCAGGUUUCUCUUCAGGUUUCUCCUUAACCACUGGUACAUCAGGUUUCUCUUGAUUAACUGGUUCUUUGGGUUUUUCUUCAACAGCCGAAUCUUCAGGAUUUUCCUCAAUGUCUUGAAAGCAAGCAAUAUCUUUAGUGGUAUUGCAUGGAAUUUCACUGCCAGUUUUGUUGUUCGAGUCUACAAUUAGCAUAUUCUGCAAAAGGAAUUUGAUGUUUCAUUUAGCCUUUUAAUAAAGAAGCAGAUGUGAAUAACAUUACAUGCAUAACUUACAAAAUGGAUAAAUUUUGUGACAGUCCUUGACCCUUACCUUUUCAGGUUUCUCCUCUUCAACAGCUGAUUCUUCAUGUUUCUCUUCAAAUGCUAGUUCUCUGGGUGUUUCUUCCCGUAGUGCUUCUUCAUGUGCUUCUUCAGUUACUGGUUUUUCAGGUUUCUCCUCAAUUGUUGGUUCUUUGAUUGUCUCCUCAACAGAUGGUUCUUCAAGCUUCUCUCCCGUUGUUGAUUUUUCUGGUUUCUCUUCAAUUGCUGGUUGUUCAGGAAUUUUCUCAACAGCUGGUUCUUCUGGCUUCUCUAAAACCAUUGAUUCUUCAGCUUUCUCUUCAAUUGAUGGUUCUUCAUGGUUUUUUUCAACUAUUGGUUCUUCAGUUUUUUCCUCAACGGAUGCAUAGUCAACAAUAUCAUUGUUGGUAUUGCUUGGAAUUGCAUCGUCUGUCAUGUCCUUUGAGUUUACUUUUGGCAUAUUCUACAAUAAAGUUUCAUGUAGUCUUUCAAUAGAUAAACAGAUGUAAAUUUGUUGCAACAUAUAAAGCUAAUAUGGUGGAUAAACUUUGUGACAGUGUUUAAUCCUCACCUUCUCCCGAAGAUCUUCCGCUUUAAGUUCCUCCUCUUCAAUUGCUGUUUUUUCAUCUUUCGUUUCAACAACUAGUUCUUCAGGUGCCUCUUCAGCCGUUGAUUCUUCAGGUUUUUCUUCAAGUGCCAGCUCUUCAGGUGUUUCCUCCUUUGCCAUCUCUUCAGGUGUUUCCUCCUUUGCCAGCUCUUCAGGUGUUUCUUUAGCUGCUGGUUCUUCAGGUUUCUCUUCAGCCGCCAGUUCUUGAGGUAUCUCCUUUUCUACUUCAGAUUUCUCCUCAACUGUUGGUUCUUCAGGUUUCUCUUCAUUAACUGGUUCUUUGGGUUUUUCUUCAACAGCCGAAUCUUCAGGAUUUUCCUCAAUGUCUGGAAAGUGAGCAACAUCUUUAUUGGUAUUGCAUGCAAUUUCACUGUCAGUUUUGUCGUUCAAGUCUACAAUUAGCAUAUUCUGCAAAAAGAAUUUGAUGUUUCAUUUAGCCUAUUAAUAAAGAAGCAGAUGUGAAUAACAUUACAUGCAUAACUUACAAAAUGGAUAAACUUUGUGAUGGUCCUUGACCCUUACCUUUCCAGGCUUCUCCUCUUCAACGGCCAGUUCUUGUUUCUCUUCAAAUGCUAGUUCCCUGGGUGUUUCUUCCUGUAUUGGUUCUUCAUGUGCUUCUUCAGGUACUGGUUUUUCAGGUUUCUCCUCAAUUGUUGGUUCUUCGAUUGUCUCCUCAACAGAUGGUUCUUCAAGGUUCUCUCCCGUUGUUGAGUCUUCUGGUUUCUCUUCAAUUGCUGGUUGUUCAGAAAUUUUCUCAACAGCUGGUUCUUCUGGCUUCUCCAAAACCAUUGAUUCUUCAGCUUUCUCUUCAAUUAAAGGUUCUUCAUGGUUUUUUUCAACUACUGUUUCUUCAGUUUUUUCCUCAACGGAUGCAUAGUCAACAACAUCAUUGUUGGUAUUGCUUGGAAUUGCAUCGUCUGUCAUGUCCUUUGAGCUUACUUUUGGCAUAUUCUGCAAUAAAGUUUCAUGUAGUCUUUCAAUAGAUAAACAGAUGUAAAUUUGUUGCACAUAUAAAGCCAAUAUGGUGGAUACACUUUGUGACAGUGUUUAAUCCUCACCUUCUCCUGAAGAUCUUCCGCUUCAAGUUCUUCCUCUUCAAUUGCUGUUUUUUCAUCUCUCUCUUCAACAACUUGUUCUUCAGGUGCCUCUUCAGCCGUUGAUUCUUCAGGUUUCUCUUCAAGCACUAGUUCUUCAGGUGUUUCCUCCUUUGCCAGCUCUUCAGGUGUUUCUUUAGCUGCCAGUUCUUCAGGUUUCUCUUCAGCUGCCGAUUCUUGAGGUAUUUCCUUUACCUGUACUUUAGAUUUCUCCUCAAAUGUUGGUUCUUCAGGUUUCUCCUUAACCGCAGGUACAUCAGGUUUCUCUUCAGCUGCUGGUUUUUGAGGUUUCUCCUCUACUUGUACCUCGGAUUUCUCCUCAACCAUCGGUUCUUCAGGUUUCUCCUCAACCUCUGGUACGUCAGGUUUCUCUUCAUUAACAAGUUCUUCACUUUUUUCUUCAAUAGUUGAUUCUUCAGGAUUUUCCUUAGUGUCUGGAGAGUAAGCAACAUCAUUAUUGGUAUUGCAUGGAAUUUCACUGCCAGUUGUGUCGUUCGACUCUACCAUUGGCAUAUUCUGCAGAAAGAAUUUAAUGUUUCACUUUGCCUUUCAAUAAAGAAGCCGAUGUAAAUCAGAGGACAUACAUAACUAAAAAAGAUGGAUUAACUUUGUGAUAGUGUUUGACUCUUACCUUUUCGAAAAGAGUUAUCUUUUCAGGUUUCUCCUCUUCAACUGUUGGUUCUUCAUGUUUCUCUUCAAAUGCUAGUUCCUCAGGUGUUUCUUCCUGUAUUGGUUCCUCAGGUGUUUCUUCUUCUGUUACUUGCUUUUCAGGUUUCUCCUCAAUUGUUGGUUCUUUGAUUGUCUCCCCAAUCGAUGGUUCUUCAAGCUUUCCCCCCCCUGUUGGUUUUUCAGGUUUCUCUUCAAUUUUCGGUUGUUCAGGUAUUUUCUCAACUGCCGGUUCUUCUGCCUUCUCCAACACCAUUGAUUCUUCAGAUUCCUCUUCAAUUGAUGAUUCUUCAUGGGUUUUUUUAACUACUGACUCUUCUGUGUUUUCCUCAACUGAUGCAUAAUCAGCAAUGUCGUUGUCGGUAUUGCUUGGAAUUGCAUUGUCUAUCUUGUCCUUUGAGUUUAAUUUUGGCAUAUUCUGCAAUAAAGUUUCAUGUAGUCUUUCAAUAGAUAAACAGAUGUAAAUUUGUUGCACUCAUAAAGCUAAUAUGAUGGAUAAAAUUUGUGACAGUGUUUAAUCCUCACCUUCUCCUGAAAAACUUCUGUUUCAAGUUCCUCCUCUUCAAUUGCUGCUUUUUCAUCUUUCUUCUCUACAACUAAUUCUUCAGGUUCCUCCUCAACGGUUGAUUCUUCAGGCUUUUCUUCAAGUACUAGUUCUUCAGGUGUUUCCUCCUUUGCUAGCUCUUCAGGUGUUCCUUUAGCUGCCGGUUCUUCUGGCUUCUCUUCAGCCUCCGGUUUUUGAGAUAUCUCCUCUACUUGAACUUUAGAUUUCUCAUUAAUU
This 5890-nucleotide long non-coding RNA is filed under the name Capsicum annuum. RNAcentral's name for it is "long non-coding RNA (CANN_LNC003850)". Lineage: Eukaryota; Viridiplantae; Streptophyta; Magnoliopsida; Solanales; Solanaceae. The record is from RNAcentral.